This is a long non-coding RNA of Solanum dulcamara, 1902 nucleotides long. RefSeq lists it as uncharacterized. Lineage: Eukaryota; Viridiplantae; Streptophyta; Magnoliopsida; Solanales; Solanaceae. The transcript is spliced from 2 exons. The record is from RefSeq and is a predicted model, not a curated record.
UCCAUGCAUUAAUUGAUUUUCUUGAUAUUUGUUCCUUUUUCAAAAACUCUUCACAUCCCUAUCACUUCGAUUUCUUUCUUUUGUUUACUCAACCACCACUUCUUCAUGACCUUCUUCAAAGAACUAUUAGCUCUCUUCUCCUUCUUUAAAAGAACUCUCUCACUCUCUCUUGGUUCCUCACUUCAAAAGGACUCGCACCAGAUUAAUGGACUCUCUAAAGAAUGUCAUUUAAAACCUUGUCUCUCUUGAAAUCGACUUUCUUUCAUUCUACCAUGACUCCUCUGAAGCAGAGUUCUGUGUCAAACCCCUCUCUUCCAAAAAAGACCUUUAUUUGCUAUGAAAAAGGAGAUCAAUAAAACACGCUCUGACUUAUCUAUUACUUUUAGACCAGAGGACAAGCUUGAUCAAAAGGUGAAAUAUGAAACUCUCAAGAAAAGACAUGUGGUACCUGGACGAGUAAUCAACUUAGAACAACCAGAAGAAUCUCAUUGUCUGGACCUUUCCUAAGCAUGGGAUAUACUCCUGUCGAAAAAGAGUGGUACGAAAAGUAGACUAUUAAAGAAAGAAUUGAUGCUCCAAAAGUUACUCGAAUCUCUGCUGAUUCGUCAUCCCUUCUCCUCAAGGAAGCUCAGGAUAUUAAGACUCUUCUGGUUGCCUUAGAUUCACACAUGCAGGAAACCAUAGAGAAGAUUCUGCAGGUUAGCAAAGACACCAGCACUGAUGUGGGGAAACAUCGACUAUCCAUGGAGACACUGAAGAAAGAUGGGGUGAGGACUAUCAACAGAUUGAUUAAGCAAGUUGAAUUGCUUAAAGCUAGAGCCGACUCCUCCAACAAUGAGUUGGUUAUUUCUAUGCAAAAUUUCUACUGGAACUUUUCCAAGAAGGUUGAACGUUCUUAUAACUCUUUCUGCAGGAACAUUCUCAACACAGUUUUAAGUAUUUUCUUGAUAGUCGUUAAACUUAGGUCUAUGUCUCAUUUGUUAUUUUUUUAUCAGACAAUAUUUUAGGGAAUAUGUCCCCUUCUACUUCUGGACAUACUGGGGCUCUUUCUUCCCUCACACUGAUUGCUUAACUUUUUCCCAGACUAAUUUAUAAUUGAAUGUUUGCUAUUAUAUUAUUGUGCAUUCUUUGUUUUUCCUUUUUGAUUAUGCCUAAGGGGGGAAAUAGUACCUAUACAAGAAAUCAAGACAGGGGAGCACAAAAACGAGGUGAACAGCAUAAAUAAAAGACAUUUCAAAAUAACAGGGAAGUUGAAAAAUAAAUCUUGUAUAGAUAAAAUGUCAUUAUCAAAAAGGAGGAGAUUUUUAACAUGUGAGAUUUUGACUAAUGACCCAUAUCUGGUGUAGGAACAAUACCUCAUAAGAAAAGGUUGAUUCACUGGAGUUAGAAAUGGAAAGAAGAUAAAUCUAGAAGCAAUGAUUUGCUGGAAUCAAAAAGGAAAAGAAGAGGAAGAUGGACAAUAGGAAGAUCCAGCGUAAAUCAAGCAAUGAAGAUUAAUUUGAAGAUACCAAGAAGUAUCAUCAAGAGAAAUAAAGGAAGGAAUCAUCACUGUUGCAUACACAUAUGGAAGAUUGCAGAUAAUUACUCAAUCAUAGAAAUACUCUGUAUAAGGUAGAGUCCUACCUAAAGACAGACAUAACUGAUAUGGACAUGUACACUUAAUCAAGGAAAUAUCACAAAUCCUUGAUUGAAUGAAACUCUACUGGUUUCUUUUAUUAGAGCUAACGGCCACCUCACAAAGGUUGUAUAUAAAGUCCUCCUCGUUAACCUAAAUAGUUACGCGCUUCACUUGAAAUUGUACUUUUGCUUUUCUUUCAUCUUUCCAAAAGCUUUGUAUUCAAUUGAGUCUAUAAUUGUAACAUAAAAGAGAAAUAACUAUCUCUAGCAUGGGUUAUAUGAGUA